GACGAACGCUGGCGGCGUGCUUAACACAUGCAAGUCGAACGGAAAGGCCCUGCUUUUGUGGGGUGCUCGAGUGGCGAACGGGUGAGUAACACGUGAGUAACCUGCCCUUGACUUUGGGAUAACUUCAGGAAACUGGGGCUAAUACCGGAUAGGAUCUCCUGCUGCAUGGUGGGGGUUGGAAAGUUUCGGCGGUUGGGGAUGGACUCGCGGCUUAUCAGCUUGUUGGUGGGGUAGUGGCUUACCAAGGCUUUGACGGGUAGCCGGCCUGAGAGGGUGACCGGCCACAUUGGGACUGAGAUACGGCCCAGACUCGUACGGGAGGCAGCAGUGGGGAAUAUUGCACAAUGGGCGGAAGCCUGAUGCAGCAACGCCGCGUGCGGGAUGACGGCCUUCGGGUUGUAAACCGCUUUCGCCUGUGACGAAGCGUGAGUGACGGUAAUGGGUAAAGAAGCACCGGCUAACUACGUG
RNAcentral lists this ribosomal RNA (468 nucleotides) under uncultured bacterium. Its description in RNAcentral is "partial 16S ribosomal RNA". It matches the Rfam family "Bacterial small subunit ribosomal RNA", at positions 28 to 507 of the family's 1533-position model. The record is from RNAcentral.